UGGGGAAUAUUGCACAAUGGGGGAAACCCUGAUGCAGCGACGCCGCGUGGGUGACGAAGUAUUUCGGUAUGUAAAGCCCUAUCAGCAGGGAAGAAGCUGACAGUACCUGACUAAGAAGCCCCGGCUAACUACGUGCCAGCAGCCGCGGUAAUACGUAGGGGGCAAGCGUUAUCCGGAUUUACUGGGUGUAAAGGGAGCGUAGGUGGCAUGGCAAGCCAGAAGUGAAAACCCGGGGCUUAACUCCGCGGAUUGCUUUUGGAACUGUCAGGCUGGAGUGCAGGAGGGGCAGGCGGAAUUCCUGGUGUAGCGGUGAAAUGCGUAGAUAUCAGGAGGAACACCGGUGGCGAAGGCGGCCUGCUGGACUGUAACUGACACUGAGGCUCGAAAGCGUGGGGAGCAAACAGGAUUAGAUACCC
This 416-nucleotide ribosomal RNA is filed under the name uncultured bacterium. Its description in RNAcentral is "bacterial SSU rRNA". It matches the Rfam family "Bacterial small subunit ribosomal RNA", at positions 355 to 787 of the family's 1533-position model. The record is from RNAcentral.